Molecule: unclassified non-coding RNA, 517 nt
Filed under: Hevea brasiliensis (rubber tree)
Lineage: Eukaryota; Viridiplantae; Streptophyta; Magnoliopsida; Malpighiales; Euphorbiaceae
Source: RNAcentral
CUUCUCCACCUUUGGGAGUGAACAUCAUCUCACCAGUAGCAAGCUCAAAUGCUAUACAAGCCAAAGACCACAUGUCAGCAGAGAAUGAAUAUCCAGAUUGAAGUAUAACUUCAGGGGAUCUGUACUGUCUUGUUUGAAUUUCUUGUGCAAAUUGCUUAUCAUCCCAGCAUGCAUUUCCAAAAUCCACAAUCUUGCACCUUAAGUCUAUCCCAUCAAGAGAUCUAUUUGAUUUUGGAGUACCUCCUACCACACCCAUUGAAGAACGUCUUCCUGAUAUCCUAGCUGCUGCUCUUCUUGCCCUUUGCUUUAGCUUUUUCUCAAUGAUAUUCAUUGUUAUUCCUCCAUUAGGGUUCCCCUCAGGCCUUUCAAGUAUGGGAGUCAUUCCAGAUCUAAUGGGAUCUUUUGUGGCAUUAAUCGUGGAAAGUAAAAGAAUAUUUUCAGGUUUCAAAUCUGUAUGAACAAUUCCAAGCCCCCCAUGCAAAUAAUCUAAACCAGUCAAGACACAUUUGCAUAUUUC